Brassica oleracea var. oleracea is the source of this 676-nucleotide long non-coding RNA. RefSeq lists it as uncharacterized. The transcript is spliced from 3 exons. The record is from RefSeq and is a predicted model, not a curated record. Lineage: Eukaryota; Viridiplantae; Streptophyta; Magnoliopsida; Brassicales; Brassicaceae.
GCGCAUCUUCAUGUUCUUCGCUUCUCUCAUCGGCGGAAGGAACGAUUCGGAUUUCUGUAACGCUAUGUGUUGUGAUUUUCCGUCUUAAAUCCUCUUAAUUAGCAAGCCCACUCCAAGACCUUUCGAUUGCGUUGUUCGUCGGCGAAAUCGUAGGCCAGACUGCUUCGAUUCUGGGAGGUUAGGAAUGUUAAGCGUGGUGGGAGCUUAAGUGGAUGGAUUUGCUCAUGGUGGAUGUUAAUGCAACCAUGAUGCUAGUGACGAUCAGUUCAAGCCUUCUCCCACAAUACCGGGAGAGACUCAUUGCCGGAACAAUGUUUUCCAUGUCCGGUUUUGAUGUCUCUAGAUGUGCACAGAGCUUCCGGCUCACGAGUCUUCUCUGUUGAUCAGGUUCAACGAGAACACCAUUUUCGAGGAGAUAACUGAUCCAUAUCCCCCUUGCCCGAGGAAGCAUUUCGGUUUCGUAACCAUUCUGAGAUGAUUGGUUUAGCCAAUACAAACAUUCAAUUGCCAGGUAUAUUGCUCCCAAUUGACACGUACCUCUUAUAUUGUUGAACUUCUGUGUGUAAAGAGUAUGGUCUGUUUAUAUUUGUAAGAAAGUGAUAUAUAUCUCAUACUUUAUGUAGACGUCAUAGGUGAAAUACUUGGUGUGAAAAGCAUCAGUUUAGUCUAAAGACAU